AGUCGAACGCCCUCUUCGGAGGGAGUGGCAGACGGGUGAGUAACGCGUGGGAAUCUACCUAGUGGUGGAGGAUAACUUCGGGAAACCGGAGCUAAUACUCCAUAAGCCCUUCGGGGGAAAGUUUUUUCGCCAUUAGAUGAGCCCGCGUUAGAUUAGCUUGUUGGUAGGGUAAUGGCCUACCAAGGCGACGAUCUAUAGCUGGUCUGAGAGGAUGAUCAGCCACACUGGAACUGAGACACGGUCCAGACUCCUACGGGAGGCAGCAGUGGGGAAUAUUGCACAAUGGGCGCAAGCCUGAUGCAGCCAUGCCGCGUGUGUGAUGAAGGCCUUAGGGUUGUAAAACACUUUCAUCGGUGAAGAUAAUGACGGUAGCCGAAGAAGAAGCCCCGGCUAACUCCGUGCCAGCAGCCGCGGUAAUACGGAGGGGGCAAGCGUUGUUCGGAAUUACUGGGCGUAAAGCGCACGUAGGCGGACUGAUCAGUUGGGGGUGAAAUCCCGAGGCUUAACCUCGGAACUGCCUUCAAUACUGUCAGUCUUGAGAUCGGAAGAGGUGAGUGGAAUUCCUAGUGUAGAGGUGAAAUUCGUAGAUAUCGGGAAGAACAUCGGUGGCGAAAGCGCUUUGCUAGACCAAAACUGACACUCAGGGACGAAAGCUAGGGGAGCGAAUGGGAUUAGAUACCCCAGUAGUCCUAGCCGUAAACGAUGGAUACUAGGUGUUGCCUGUAUCGACC
Molecule: ribosomal RNA, 731 nt
Filed under: uncultured bacterium
Lineage: Bacteria
Description: bacterial SSU rRNA
Rfam family: Bacterial small subunit ribosomal RNA
Source: RNAcentral